Molecule: ribosomal RNA, 395 nt
Filed under: uncultured bacterium
Lineage: Bacteria
Description: partial 16S ribosomal RNA
Rfam family: Bacterial small subunit ribosomal RNA
Source: RNAcentral
CCUACGGGAGGCUGCAGUGAGGAAUAUUGGUCAAUGGACGCAAGUCUGAACCAGCCAUGCCGCGUGCAGGAAGACGGCUCUAUGAGUUGUAAACUGCUUUUGUACGAGGGUAAACGCAGAUACGCGUAUCGGUUUGAAAGUAUCGUACGAAUAAGGAUCGGCUAACUCCGUGCCAGCAGCCGCGGUAAUACGGAGGAUUCAAGCGUUAUCCGGAUUUAUUGGGUUUAAAGGGUGCGUAGGCGGUCUGAUAAGUUUGCGGUGAAAUCCCGAGGCUCAACCUCGGAAUUGCCUCUGAAACUGGUGUGCUUGAGUGUAGGUGAGGUAGGCGGAAUGUAUGGUGUAGCGGUGAAAUGCUUAGAGAUGAUACAGAACACCGAUUGCGAAGGCAGCUUACC